Molecule: RNA transcript, 3472 nt
Organism: Myotis myotis
Lineage: Eukaryota; Metazoa; Chordata; Mammalia; Chiroptera; Vespertilionidae
Gene: EME1
Gene name: essential meiotic structure-specific endonuclease 1
Exons: 10
Source: RefSeq, a predicted model, not a curated record
GCGCCAGCACCGCCGACGCCAUGUUUGCCGUACAGUCGCUUCCGGUCUCACAAAGGUUCUGCUUCCGCUAUCGGGGGCUUUACUUCCGGGUCCUGCGUGGCAACUCAAAGAGAAGCGGGAGAAGUUGCAGAGAAUUCAUUUGGUAGCACGUAUUAAUGGCUCUAAAGAAGUCAUCGCUCUCCCUGGACUCUUCCAGUGAUGCUGAGGAGUUGCCAGUAUUUACCUUUCUGAAGAAGGAACCAUGUUCAACAAAGAGGAGGCAGCCUCAGAGGGAGGAGAGGAUCGUAGUGGUUCACACCUCAGAUUCUGAGGCCUCCUGUCCUCCAUCACCAAGGUGGAAAGAUCCACCGCCCGUCCCAGACACAGCUGAACCCAUCACACAAAUACAGCCAGUCAGGGUGCUGAGCAGUGGAAGUGAGGAUGAGGAGGAACUUAUUCCCCUGGCUGAGAGACUGACAUGUAAGUUUUUGACCCACAAGCAGCUGAGCCCUGAGGAUUCUAACUCCCCAGGUAAAAGCGUUUUGGAUCAUCAGAAUAAUGAAGGAGCAUCACAUGACUGGAAAAAACAGCCCUUUCCAAAGAUCUGUGAUGUUCCCCUCCAAGACACCUCAGAAAAGUGUACAUCGAAUAACAAGGACUCUACGAUAGACAGUCCAUGCCAUCAGGUUCCAGCCCACCAAGCUACCUGCCCUCCCCGGAGCGUCAGCUCGUCAGUCACCAAAACAAAUGCCGAGGCCCUCCCACCUCAGAAGAGAACCAAGCACAGUCAGAAGGUCCAGAGGAGAGGCUCACAGGGACAAGCAAGCCGGAAGGAAAGCACCCUGAGACAACCACAGAGAGAAAAAAAGGCAGCACUGGCUAACAGACCAAAAGCCCGGAGGCCAGAGGAGUGCUUAAAGCACAUCGCUGUGGCGCUGGAUCCAGUGCUUUUACAGAUGGAAGGCGGCGGCCAGCUCCUCGGAGCACUGCAGUCCAUGGAGUGCUGCUGUGUGAUUGAGGCGCAGGCCGUGCCCCGCAGCAUCGCCUGGAGGAGGAGGGCCGGGCCGGCUGUGGAUGGAGAGGAGGCCUGGGUGGAGGAGCCGAUGGUCCUGGUGCUGCUCCCGGCAGAGGCGUUUGUGUCCAUGAUCCACAACUUCAAGCAGGGAGGUCCAGGCAGCACCGAGAAAGGGAAGGAAACACUCCGGAGCUUUGUAGCAGACAUCACGGCAAGGACAGCGGGAAAGGCUCUGUCACUGGUGAUUGUGGAUCAGGAGAAAUGCUUCAGUGCUCCAAAUCCUCCAAGGAGAAGGAAGCCGGGCGUGGCAAACGGAGAACAGGCCAAGGAGAAGAGGAAGAAGCAGAGACCCCCAGAGGCCAGCACAGGGCCCGUGGUGUCCAGGGUAGACAUGGAGGCGGCACUGGUGGAUCUGCAGCUACACACACACGCCCAGGCCCGAGUUGUGCAGAGCUGGCAAGAGCUGGCCGACUUCGCGUGCUCGUUCACGAAGGCUGUGGCUGAGGCGCCCUUCAAGAGACUCCGAGAUCAAACUAAUUUCUCCUUCUGCCUGGAGAGCGACUGGGCUGGAGGGGCGAAGGUGGACCGUGCUGGCAGGGGCCUUGCUCAGGUCUGGCGGAGGCAGAUUCAGCAGCUGAACCGAGUCAGCCUGGAAAUGGCCAGCGCUGUUGUGGCCGCCUAUCCCUCCCCACAGCUCCUGGUCCAGGCUUAUAGGCGGUGUUUUUCGGAGCAAGAACGCCAGAAUCUGCUUGCAGACAUACAGGUGCGCCGUGGGGAAGGCGUGACAUCUACCUCCCGCCGUGUUGGACCAGAUCUGUCCAGGCGCAUCUACCUUCAGAUGACCGCGUUGCAGCCAGAUCUCUCUUUAGACAGUGCAGACUGAAGCUAGCCCCAAGGGACAGGAUGAAAAGCUGGAGAUUUCUGCCUCAGGACAUGACCAAUGCAGAGAGGGAGGUGUCGCCUGGAGCACAAGCCUGGGUCAGGGCCACAACAGAUCCUGGGUGCCAUUGUGAAAGUCUCCCUACCUGUCAACUGGCUGAGAUAUUUGCAUUUAUCUUCACCAGCAUUCAGUGUUCCUCUCCUGGCAAAAACCAAGUGCCAUGCAUGAGCCACCCCUGCCCCAGCCAGCCCUCAAAAUACAAAGGAACACAGACAGACCAUUCAGACACAUAUUUAAUAGUUGCAGAAAUCCAAAAGAACCUCAACAUCAAGUCUUGAGAUCAUGAGUGAAGUGCCCUCAGUGGGUUGGCUUUCUAGGCUGGGCGUCCAGCCCUGUUGGCCCACUGAGGCUGCCUCAACCAGCCAGGGAACGGGUCUGAUCCCUAUGCCCACUUCUGUAUUCUCUCCGUCUUAUAUGUACUAUGUGUUUAGUUUCAAUAAAGCAUUUGUACCAGUGGCUCUGGAGCUCGGAGGAAGACUAAAGGAAUGUGUAGUGAUCCAGAGUAAGGGGUGGGCCUGUACAGCAGAGCUAUCCUUGGGGGAGAAAAGUCAUUUCUUUCAGGAUCAGGACAAUCACAACUGGCAAACCUAUCCAGUGGACCACUAAGCCUAAAAAGCUGGAGCCUGUCCUCUUCAUCUCUGAACCUGAACACCUUCUUGCUGUCCUCGGCGAGGGGCAAGGAACUUGCAGUCGGGAGUUUCAGUGAGUGGGCACCAUGACAUGGCCAUUCCUGAUCCCUUCAUCCAGCUGUUGUCAAAGAUGAAGCAGAGGAGGCCACUGAGCAAGAAAACACUCUGGCCAACAAGAGAGUGACAGCCCUGCCCUUCAUUGCACAAGUCAUUAGCAUUCCUGACCACCUUUAAAUGCCUCGAUGCUCCUGGAUCCCCUCACUGCCCAGGGAACCCUGACUCAGGAACAAAGAAGUCCUACAAAGAGGAGGUCUCAAGUACCAAUCAGCAGCCAUUUAAUGACGGCAGGUAGGUCUGACGCUAAAAAGAGGUUGUGUCCAGCAGAACCCAAUUCCAUAGGAAUCCAAGUCCCAGGGCUGAGAGGCAGCAGGUGUUGAGGACACGCUCAUUGCUGGGGGUCGGUCUGCAGGACCCACUGGAGGAUGUGGUGGCUGCGCAGACCCCGGAUCGCAUUGUCGUAGAUGGUGUUCACGCUGGUGCAGAGGGGCUGCUGCUGCAGCUCCGUCACCCGGCACACCACCAGCCCGCCCGCCACGCACAGCAGCAGCAGCAGCAGCAGCUUCAGCACCGCCCAGGACCGGGUGUGCUUCCGGGCUGGCUGCUUACGGGACCGAGAGCCGGACUUGGAUUCUGGAGUGACAAAGGCACAGGAGACAAAGUUCAGUCAGUUUGAGGAGACCCACACUCUCCACCAUUCAAUGCUGUUCUCUUCCAUGCAGAUCCACGAACACCCCCCUUAGGCAUGAAUAUUGUUUUAAGAACAUCUGAGCUCUUAAAAACUUGCUAUGUGCAGACUGAAAUAUAAGCUGCCUUCUCCUUGGAUUCAAGGGAAGACAUUCAACACUGGAA